UUCCGGUUGAUCCUGCCGGAGGUCACUGCUAUUGGGAUUCGAUUAAGCCAUGCGAGUCGAGAGGGUUCGGCCCUCGGCUGACGGCUCAGUAACACGUGGAUAAUCUGCCCUAAGGUGGAGGAUAACCUCGGGAAACUGAGAAUAAUACUCCAUAGAUCUAGAAGGCUGGAAUGCAUCUAGAUUAAAAGCUCUGGCGCCUUAGGAUGAGUCUGCGGACUAUCAGGUUGUAGUCAGGGUAAAGACCUGACUAGCCUACGACGGAUACGGGUUGUGAGAGCAAUAACCCGGAGACGAUAUCUGAGACACGAUAUCGGGCCCUACGGGGCGCAGCAGGCGCGAAAACUUCACAAUGUGCGAAAGCACGAUGAGGGAAUCCCAAGUGCUGGUUCGAAAGAGUCAGCUGUUUCUUUGUCUAAAAAACAGAGAGAGUAAGAGCUGGGUAAGACGGGUGCCAGCCGCCGCGGUAAUACCUGCAGCUCGAGUGGUGGUCGCUAUUAUUGGGCCUAAAACGUCCGUAGCCGGUCUAAUAAAUGCCUGGGUAAAUCGUAUAGCUUAACUAUACGAAUUCCGGGUAGACUGUUAAACUUGAGACCGGGAGAGGCUAGAGGUACUCCUGGGGUAGAGGUGAAAUUCUGUAAUCCUAGGGGGACCACCAGUGGCGAAGGCGUCUAGCUAGAACGGGUCUGACGGUGAGGGACGAAGCCCUGGGGCGCGAACCGGAUUAGAUACCCGGGUAGUCCAGGGUGUAAACGCUGCUUGCUUGAUGUUAGUUGGGCUCCGAGCCCAACUAGUGUCGGAGAGAAGUUGUUAAGCAAGCUGCCUGGGAAGUACGGUCGCAAGACUGAAACUUAAAGGAAUUGGCGGGGGAGCACAGCAACGGGUGGAGCGUGCGGUUUAAUUGGACUCAACGCCGGU
Molecule: ribosomal RNA, 915 nt
Filed under: uncultured archaeon
Lineage: Archaea
Description: bacterial SSU rRNA
Rfam family: Archaeal small subunit ribosomal RNA
Source: RNAcentral